UGGGUCAUAGAGGACUCGAACCUCUAGCAUAUCGGUUAAAAGCCGAUUACUCUACCAUUGAGUUAAUAACCC
This 72-nucleotide transfer RNA is filed under the name Bacillus phage PBC2. RNAcentral's name for it is "tRNA-Lys". Lineage: Duplodnaviria; Heunggongvirae; Uroviricota; Caudoviricetes. The record is from RNAcentral.